GCUAAGUGAAAUAAGCCACACCAAGAAGGGCAAAUACCAUAUGAUUUCACUCAUGUGUGGAACUUAAGGAACAAAGCAAACAAUAAAG
Molecule: long non-coding RNA, 88 nt
Organism: Mustela erminea (ermine)
Lineage: Eukaryota; Metazoa; Chordata; Mammalia; Carnivora; Mustelidae
Exons: 3
Source: RefSeq, a predicted model, not a curated record